AGGGCACCACCAGGAGUGGAGCCUGCGGCUUAAUUUGACUCAACACGGGAAAACUCACCCGGCCCGGACACUGGAAGGAUUGACAGAUUGAGAGCUCUUUCUUGAUUCAGUGGGUGGUGGUGCAUGGCCGUUCUUAGUUGGUGGAGCGAUUUGUCUGGUUAAUUCCGAUAACGAACGAGACUCUAGCCUACUAAAUAGAUCGUUGGCUUACAAACGCCAAUGAGACUUCUUAAAGGGACAGGCGGCGAUUCAGCCGCACGAAACAGAGCAAUAACAGGUCUGUGAUGCCCUUAGAUGUCCGGGGCCGCACGCGCGCUACACUGAAGUGAUCAGCGUGCAUUCUCAGCCUACUCUGCCAAGAGUGGGAAACCCAAUGAACCUUCUUCGUGAUUGGGAUAGGAGAUUGUAAUUAUUCUCCUUGAACGAGGAAUUCCCAGUAAGCGCGAGUCAUAAGCUCGCGUUGAUUACGUCCCUGCCCUUUGUACACACCGCCCGUCGCUACUACCGAUAGAAUGUUUU
RNAcentral lists this ribosomal RNA (519 nucleotides) under uncultured eukaryote. Its description in RNAcentral is "SSU rRNA". It matches the Rfam family "Eukaryotic small subunit ribosomal RNA", at positions 1161 to 1699 of the family's 1831-position model. The record is from RNAcentral.